GGGCAUGUUAGUAUUGAAGAACCAACAAGAAAAAAAAAUUGUAGUGAAGCCACAAGGAUAGAGAGGAAUAUUUUUCUAAAGGUUUCCUUAAUGCAAUUAUGUAACCAGUCUCUGAGCUAUCCCAUUGGCAUGACAGCAUAUGUAUUUUCUAAAUAUGAGGUUUCACAAAUUUCUAAUGGUAAUUACACCACACACAAGCUGCAUAUGCAAAUAUUUUAACAAGACUUUUUAUUCAACUUUCUUUAUGGAAUAUUCACAAAAGAA
This 264-nucleotide unclassified non-coding RNA is filed under the name Hevea brasiliensis (rubber tree). Lineage: Eukaryota; Viridiplantae; Streptophyta; Magnoliopsida; Malpighiales; Euphorbiaceae. The record is from RNAcentral.